This 338-nucleotide unclassified non-coding RNA is filed under the name soil metagenome. RNAcentral's name for it is "partial contains 5.8S ribosomal RNA, internal transcribed spacer 2, and large subunit ribosomal RNA". The stretch from base 1 to 120 matches the Rfam family "5.8S ribosomal RNA", at positions 35 to 154 of the family's 154-position model. The record is from RNAcentral.
GAUGAAGAACGUAGCGAAAUGCGAUAAGUAGUGUGAAUUGCAGAAUUCAGUGAAUCAUCGAAUCUUUGAACGCACAUUGCGCCCUUUGGUAUUCCUUAGGGCAUGCCUGUUCGAGCGUCAUUUAAACCUUCAAGCUCAGCUUGGUGUUGGGUGACUGUCCGCCGCCUCCGGGCGCGUGGACUCGCCUCAAAAUUAUUGGCGGCCGGUACAUUGGCUUCGAGCGCAGCAGAAACGCGAACUCGGGCCCGUCGUAUUGGCUCCCAGAAGCUAUCUUCACAAUUUUGACCUCGGAUCAGGUAGGGAUACCCGCUGAACUUAAGCAUAUCAAUAAGCGAGGA